RNAcentral lists this ribosomal RNA (888 nucleotides) under Salmonella enterica subsp. enterica serovar Kentucky. RNAcentral describes it as "partial 23S ribosomal RNA". It matches the Rfam family "Bacterial large subunit ribosomal RNA", at positions 670 to 1558 of the family's 2925-position model. The record is from RNAcentral. Lineage: Bacteria; Pseudomonadati; Pseudomonadota; Gammaproteobacteria; Enterobacterales; Enterobacteriaceae.
AGGGAAACCGAGUCUUAACUGGGCGUUAAGUUGCAGGGUAUAGACCCGAAACCCGGUGAUCUAGCCAUGGGCAGGUUGAAGGUUGGGUAACACUAACUGGAGGACCGAACCGACUAAUGUUGAAAAAUUAGCGGAUGACUUGUGGCUGGGGGUGAAAGGCCAAUCAAACCGGGAGAUAGCUGGUUCUCCCCGAAAGCUAUUUAGGUAGCGCCUCGUGAACUCAUCUUCGGGGGUAGAGCACUGUUUCGGCUAGGGGGUCAUCCCGACUUACCAACCCGAUGCAAACUGCGAAUACCGAAGAAUGUUAUCACGGGAGACACACGGCGGGUGCUAACGUCCGUCGUGAAGAGGGAAACAACCCAGACCGCCAGCUAAGGUCCCAAAGUCACAGUUAAGUGGGAAACGAUGUGGGAAGGCUCAGACAGCCAGGAUGUUGGCUUAGAAGCAGCCAUCAUUUAAAGAAAGCGUAAUAGCUCACUGGUCGAGUCGGCCUGCGCGGAAGAUGUAACGGGGCUAAACUGUGCACCGAAGCUGCGGCAGCGACGCUUAUGCGUUGUUGGGUAGGGGAGCGUUCUGUAAGCCUGCGAAGGUGUCCUGUGAGGGAUGCUGGAGGUAUCAGAAGUGCGAAUGCUGACAUAAGUAACGAUAAUGCGGGUGAAAAGCCCGCUCGCCGGAAGACCAAGGGUUCCUGUCCAACGUUAAUCGGGGCAGGGUGAGUCGACCCCUAAGGCGAGGCCGAAAGGCGUAGUCGAUGGGAAACGGGUUAAUAUUCCCGUACUUGGUGUUACUGCGAAGGGGGGACGGAGAAGGCUAUGUUGGCCGGGCGACGGUUGUCCCGGUUUAAGCGUGUAGGCUGGUUUUCCAGGCAAAUCCGGAAAAUCAAGGCUG